UGGUGGGUUGCCUUGUCAGGUUGAUUCCGGUAACGAACGAGACCUCAGCCUGCUAAAUAGUCACGAUCGCUUCUUGCGGUUGGCUGACUUCUUAGAGGGACUAUUGGCGUUUAGUCAAUGGAAGUAUGAGGCAAUAACA
RNAcentral lists this ribosomal RNA (139 nucleotides) under uncultured eukaryote. Its description in RNAcentral is "partial 18S ribosomal RNA". It matches the Rfam family "Eukaryotic small subunit ribosomal RNA", at positions 1299 to 1458 of the family's 1831-position model. The record is from RNAcentral.